Molecule: ribosomal RNA, 484 nt
Filed under: uncultured bacterium
Lineage: Bacteria
Description: partial 16S ribosomal RNA
Rfam family: Bacterial small subunit ribosomal RNA
Source: RNAcentral
AUUGAACGCUGGCGGCAUGCUUUACACAUGCAAGUCGAACGGCAGCGCGGGCUUCUUCCUGGCGGCGAGUGGCGAACGGGUGAGUAAUACACCGGAACGUGCCCAGUAGUGGGGGAUAGCUCGGCUAAAGCCGGAUUAAUACCGCAUACGACCUGAUGGUGAAACCUGGGGAUCUUCGGACCUCGCGCUAUUGGAGCGGCCGAUGGCAGAUUUGCUAGUUGGUGGGGUAAAGGCCUACCAAGGCGACGAUCUGUAGCUGGUCUGAGUGGACGACCAGCCACACUGGGACUGAGACACGGCCCAGACUCCUAAGGGAGGCAGCAGUGGGGAAUGUUGGACAAUGGGCGAAAGCCUGAUCCAGCAAGGCCGCGUGUGUGAUGAAGGCCUUCGGGUUGUAAAGAACUUUUGGCGGGAACGAAAAGGACUGGGCCAAUACCACGGUUCGAUGACGGUACCCGCAGAAUAAGCACCGGCUAACUACGUG